UCUAGAGGCUUCGGCAAUGGGGGAAACCCUGACCGAGCGACGCCGCGUGCGGGAUUGAAGGCCUUCGGGUCGUAAACCGCUGUCAGGUGGGAAGAAUGCCCAUAUGGCGAAUAUGGGAGUGACGGUACCACCAGAGGAAGCCCCGGCUAACUCCGUGCCAGCAGCCGCGGUAAUACGGAGGGGGCAAGCGUUAUUCGGAUUUACUGGGCGUAAAGGGUGCGUAGGCGGCUGUGCAAGUCCGAUGUGAAAUCUUCACCGCUCAACGGGAAGAGGUCAUUGGAAACUGCAUAGCUCGAGUAUGGGAGAGGCGAGCGGAAUUCCUGGUGUAGCGGUGGAAUGUGUAGAUAUCAGGAAGAACACCCGUGGCGAAGGCGGCUCGCUGGGCCAUCACUGACGCUGAGGCACGAAAGCGUGGGGAGCAAACG
This 425-nucleotide ribosomal RNA is filed under the name uncultured prokaryote. RNAcentral's name for it is "bacterial SSU rRNA". It matches the Rfam family "Bacterial small subunit ribosomal RNA", at positions 355 to 774 of the family's 1533-position model. The record is from RNAcentral.